UGGGGAAUUUUGGACAAUGGGCGAAAGCCUGAUCCAGCAAUGCCGCGUGUGUGAAGAAGGCCUUCGGGUUGUAAAGCACUUUUGUCCGGGAAAGAAAUCCUUGGCUCUAAUACAGUCGGGGGAUGACGGUACCGGAAGAAUAAGCACCGGCUAACUACGUGCCAGCAGCCGCGGUAAUACGUAGGGUGCAAGCGUUAAUCGGAUUACUGGGCGUAAAGCGUGCGCAGGCGGUUUGCUAGACCGAUGUGAAAUCCCCGGGCUCAACCUGGGAACUGCAUUGGUGACUGGCAGGCUAGAGUAUGGCAGAGGGGGGUAGAAUUCCACGUGUANCAGUGAAAGUGCGUAGGAGAUGUGGAGGAAUACCGAUGGCGAAGGCAGCCCCCUGGGCCAAAUACUGACGCUCAUGCACGAAAGCCGUGGGGGAGCAAACAGGAUUAGAUACCCUGGUAGUCCGCGCCCUAAACGAUGUCCAACUAGUUGUUGGGGACUUCAUUUCCUUAGUAACGUAGCUAACGCGU
This 518-nucleotide ribosomal RNA is filed under the name uncultured bacterium. Its description in RNAcentral is "partial 16S ribosomal RNA". It matches the Rfam family "Bacterial small subunit ribosomal RNA", at positions 355 to 860 of the family's 1533-position model. The record is from RNAcentral.